UAAACGCUGGCGGCGUGCUUAACACAUGCAAGUCGAACGGAGUAUUCCUCGGAAGAUCGAAGAGCUGCUCAGAGAGAUUCUUGGAAUACUUAGUGGCGGACGGGUGAGUAACGCGUGGGUAACCUGCCUCACACAGGGGGAUAACAGUUGGAAACGACUGUUAAUACCGCAUAAGCGCACGGUACCGCAUGGUACAGUGUGAAAAACUCCGGUGGUGUGAGAUGGACCCGCGUCUGAUUAGCUAGUUGGUGAGGUAACGGCCCACCAAGGCGACGAUCAGUAGCCGGCCUGAGAGGGUGUACGGCCACAUUGGGACUGAGACACGGCCCAAACUCCUACGGGAGGCAGCAGUGGGGAAUAUUGCACAAUGGGGGAAACCCUGAUGCAGCGACGCCGCGUGAGUGAUGAAGUAUUUCGGUAUGUAAAGCUCUAUCAGCAGGGAAGAUAAUGACGGUACCUGACUAAGAAGCACCGGCUAAAUACGUGCCAGCAGCAGC
This 497-nucleotide ribosomal RNA is filed under the name uncultured bacterium. Its description in RNAcentral is "bacterial SSU rRNA". It matches the Rfam family "Bacterial small subunit ribosomal RNA", at positions 30 to 518 of the family's 1533-position model. The record is from RNAcentral.